RNAcentral lists this long non-coding RNA (281 nucleotides) under Olea europaea (common olive). RNAcentral's name for it is "long non-coding RNA (OEUR_LNC002392)". Lineage: Eukaryota; Viridiplantae; Streptophyta; Magnoliopsida; Lamiales; Oleaceae. The record is from RNAcentral.
UUACUUAGUUUAUUAAUGUAAUAGUACAGGUUUAUUUCCAUUCACCAAAUUUUAGGCUUUACCCUUAGGAAAAAACCUACAUAUAUAUGGGCUGCAAGAGUACAAGCCAAGAUAGUUACACAAAAAAUAGUUAGCUUCUUCUUCCACAAAAACCUAUGAUGGCUUCUAAUAAUGGCCAUUCCCAAACUGUCUCGCCUGAGACAGAACCCUCUUUUUCGACUCCGAUUUUCUGGCCGGCCUCGACUCGCCGGACUCUGUCCUUUUCUUCAUCCUCACCNNNN